Molecule: ribosomal RNA, 253 nt
Filed under: uncultured bacterium
Lineage: Bacteria
Description: partial 16S ribosomal RNA
Rfam family: Bacterial small subunit ribosomal RNA
Source: RNAcentral
UACGUAGGGAGCAAGCGUUGUCCGGAAUCAUUGGGCGUAAAGCGCGCGUAGGUGGCUUCAUAAGUCCGUUGUGAAAGUCAAAGGCUCAACCUUUGAACGCCGAUGGAUACUGUGGAGCUAGAGUACGGAAGAGGCGAGUGGAAUUCCUGGUGUAGCGGUGGAAUGCGCAGAUAUCAGGAGGAACACCAAUAGCGAAGGCAGCUCGCUGGGACGUUACUGACACUGAGGCGCGAAAGCGUGGGGAGCGAACAGG